GUUUUAAUAGUUUAAAUAAAAACACUGGUCUUGUAAAUCAAAAUUAAGUUAAAAUACUUUUAAAACU
Molecule: transfer RNA, 67 nt
Filed under: Raymondia sp. A GC-2023a
Lineage: Eukaryota; Metazoa; Arthropoda; Insecta; Diptera; Streblidae
Description: tRNA-Thr
Rfam family: tRNA
About the family: Transfer RNA (tRNA) molecules are approximately 80 nucleotides in length. Their secondary structure includes four short double-helical elements and three loops (D, anti-codon, and T loops).
Source: RNAcentral